UACGAAGGGUGCAAGCGUUAAUCGGAAUUACUGGGCGUAAAGCGCGCGUAGGUGGUUCGUUAAGUUGGAUGUGAAAGCCCCGGGCUCAACCUGGGAACUGCAUCCAAAACUGGCGAGCUAGAGUAUGGCAGAGGGUGGUGGAAUUUCCUGUGUAGCGGUGAAAUGCGUAGAUAUAGGAAGGAACACCAGUGGCGAAGGCGACAACCUGGGCUAAUACUGACACUGAGAUGGGAAAGCGUGGGGGGCAGACAGGGUUGGAUACCCAUGUAGACC
RNAcentral lists this ribosomal RNA (273 nucleotides) under uncultured bacterium. RNAcentral describes it as "partial 16S ribosomal RNA". It matches the Rfam family "Bacterial small subunit ribosomal RNA", at positions 524 to 796 of the family's 1533-position model. The record is from RNAcentral.